UAUAGAGCGCUCACCAAUCAAGCACCAACGUUGCAAACAACAACCAUCGUGGCUUUGCACGUUGUUCCACCUGCAGUGGAGGAGGGGGCGGUGGUGAGGUGUGCAUUAUGACUUCAUGCCAGGCCUUGCCAUGAACCCAUACACCGAGGAGGAAGCGGCGGGGAGGGGGUCAUCGAUUGCGCCAACGAAGAAGGAGCGAUGAAGGAGGAAGGCGUGAGUAAUAUGCCACGGCAGGCUAAGUCAAGGAGGGCCUGCCUAUUCCUCGGAAUGUUUGAUCAUUUCCAUUAGCCUGUGGCACCAGUGGGAGGAUAACGAUCCAGAGAAACACCCGCACCAGUGGGAGGAUAACGAUCCAGAGAAACGCCCGCACCAGUGGGAGGAUAACGCACAGGUGGAUUCCAUCGCUAUACUGCGAUUUCCGGGCGACCCUGACGUGUGCCUGCGAAAGUCGAAUCGCUUAACAGCUAAAAAGCCGACGCCUCCGUACACCCACGCAGCACACAGUAUGUGAAGAGAGGCUAGGCAGUGCUUGGAAGAGUUGACGACCUUGCAGAGACGGCCGCAUAAACCAUCACGUGCACUCCGGUCAUCCUCGCAGCAGCGGCGUUUGGCUAGCCAUCGAACAA
Molecule: non-coding RNA, 626 nt
Organism: Petromyzon marinus (sea lamprey)
Lineage: Eukaryota; Metazoa; Chordata; Hyperoartia; Petromyzontiformes; Petromyzontidae
Source: RefSeq, a predicted model, not a curated record